Molecule: ribosomal RNA, 972 nt
Filed under: Corynebacterium stationis
Lineage: Bacteria; Bacillati; Actinomycetota; Actinomycetes; Mycobacteriales; Corynebacteriaceae
Description: bacterial SSU rRNA
Rfam family: Bacterial small subunit ribosomal RNA
Source: RNAcentral
UGACGGUAGGUAGAUAAGAAGCACCGGCUAACUACGUGCCAGCAGCCGCGGUAAUACGUAGGGUGCAAGCGUUGUCCGGAAUUACUGGGCGUAAAGAGCUCGUAGGUGGUUUGUCGCGUCGUCUGUGAAAUCCCGGGGCUUAACUUCGGGCGUGCAGGCGAUACGGGCAUAACUUGAGUGCUGUAGGGGAGACUGGAAUUCCUGGUGUAGCGGUGAAAUGCGCAGAUAUCAGGAGGAACACCGAUGGCGAAGGCAGGUCUCUGGGCAGUUACUGACGCUGAGGAGCGAAAGCAUGGGUAGCGAACAGGAUUAGAUACCCUGGUAGUCCAUGCCGUAAACGGUGGGCGCUAGGUGUAGGGGGCUUCCACGUCUUCUGUGCCGUAGCUAACGCAUUAAGCGCCCCGCCUGGGGAGUACGGCCGCAAGGCUAAAACUCAAAGGAAUUGACGGGGGCCCGCACAAGCGGCGGAGCAUGUGGAUUAAUUCGAUGCAACGCGAAGAACCUUACCUGGGCUUGACAUAUACAGGAUCGGGCUAGAGAUAGUCUUUCCCUUGUGGUCUGUAUACAGGUGGUGCAUGGUUGUCGUCAGCUCGUGUCGUGAGAUGUUGGGUUAAGUCCCGCAACGAGCGCAACCCUUGUCUUAUGUUGCCAGCACGUUAUGGUGGGAACUCAUGAGAGACUGCCGGGGUUAACUCGGAGGAAGGUGGGGAUGACGUCAAAUCAUCAUGCCCCUUAUGUCCAGGGCUUCACACAUGCUACAAUGGUCGAUACAGUGGGCAGCGACAUCGUAAGGUGGAGCGAAUCCCUGAAAGUCGGCCUUAGUUCGGAUUGGGGUCUGCAACUCGACCCCAUGAAGUCGGAGUCGCUAGUAAUCGCAGAUCAGCAAUGCUGCGGUGAAUACGUUCCCGGGCCUUGUACACACCGCCCGUCACGUCAUGAAAGUUGGUAACACCCGAAGCCAGUGGCCUAAAC